RNAcentral lists this ribosomal RNA (613 nucleotides) under Rossellomorea vietnamensis. RNAcentral's name for it is "bacterial SSU rRNA". It matches the Rfam family "Bacterial small subunit ribosomal RNA", at positions 93 to 690 of the family's 1533-position model. The record is from RNAcentral. Lineage: Bacteria; Bacillati; Bacillota; Bacilli; Caryophanales; Bacillaceae.
CAGCGGCGGACGGGUGAGUAACACGUGGGUAACCUGCCUGUAAGACUGGGAUAACUCCGGGAAACCGGGGCUAAUACCGGAUAACUCAUUUCCUCGCAUGAGGAAAUGUUGAAAGGUGGCUUUUACCUACCACUUACAGAUGGACCCGCGGCGCAUUACCUAGUUGGUGAGGUAACGGCUCACCAAGGCAACGAUGCGUACCCAACCUGAAAGGGUGAUCGGCCACACUGGGACUGAAACACGGCCCAAACUCCUACGGGAGGCAGCAUUAGGGAAUCUUCCGCAAUGGACAAAAGUCUGACGGACCAACGCCCCGUGAUUGAUGAAGGUUUUCGGAUCGUAAAGCUCUGUUGUUAGGGAAAAACAAGUGCCGUUCGAAUAGGGCGGCACCUUGACGGUACCUAACCAAAAAGCCACGGCUAACUACUUGCCACCACCCGCGGUAAUACUUAGGUGGCAAGCGUUGUCCGGAAUUAUUGGGCGUAAAGCGCGCGCAGGUGGUUCCUUAAUUCUGAUGUGAAAGCCCACGGCUCAACCGUGGAGGGUCAUUGGAAACUGGGGAACUUGAUUGCAAAAAAGGAAAGUGGAAUUCCAAGUGUACCGGUGAAAUGCG